GUGGGGAAUAUUGGACAAUGGGCGAAAGCCUGAUCCAGCAAUGCCGCGUGAGUGAUGAAGGCCCUAGGGUUGUAAAGCUCUUUUACCCGGGAUGAUAAUGACAGUACCGGGAGAAUAAGCUCCGGCUAACUCCGUGCCAGCAGCCGCGGUAAUACGGAGGGAGCUAGCGUUGUUCGGAAUUACUGGGCGUAAAGCGCGCGUAGGCGGUUUUCCAAGUCAGGGGUGAAAGCCCGGGGCUCAACCCCGGAAUAGCCCUUGAAACUGGAAGACUAGAAUCUUGGAGAGGUCAGUGGAAUUCCGAGUGUAGAGGUGAAAUUCGUAGAUAUUCGGAAGAACACCAGUGGCGAAGGCGACUGACUGGACAAGUAUUGACGCUGAGGUGCGAAAGCGUGGGGAGCAAACAGGAUUAGAAACCCUAGUAGUCC
This 425-nucleotide ribosomal RNA is filed under the name uncultured bacterium. RNAcentral describes it as "partial 16S ribosomal RNA". It matches the Rfam family "Bacterial small subunit ribosomal RNA", at positions 354 to 796 of the family's 1533-position model. The record is from RNAcentral.